Molecule: long non-coding RNA, 1981 nt
Organism: Pongo pygmaeus (Bornean orangutan)
Lineage: Eukaryota; Metazoa; Chordata; Mammalia; Primates; Hominidae
Exons: 3
Source: RefSeq, a predicted model, not a curated record
CUCCCACAGUGCCUACCCUAACAGCACCAAAUCUGUUUCCAGGCAGUGGGCAAGCAGGGCUGAGAAUUGCCCCAGACUACCCACCUCCCAGCUGCAAAGGAAAAGGGCUCAGUUCUUCCCCCACCUGUGGAGUCUGCAUGCUGGAUUUGCGUUCUCUCCAGAGUUCUGGCCAGGAGGCUUCUCGCCUGGUUCAAAUUGUUAUAAAGUUCAGCUGGAGACUUCCUUCUCCCUGCGGCAUUUUCCCCACACCUCUGGCUGCCCUCCUGAAGGAUCCUUGUGGUGCCAGUUGUUCUGGAGCUAAAAUUCAUGAUGUGAGCCUCCGUAUGCUGCUCUGUCUGUCCAAGUCGGAGCUGCAAUCUGGUUCUGCCUCCUGUCUGCCGAAAUGAUCGCUGUUGUAGUUUGUGUGUGUCUUCUUUUGAGAAAUGCCUUGCGCCCUCCCGCUCUUCCAGGAUAACUCAGGGCCUCCAUCUCCUCAUUUGAAAACUCCGUUCCUCCCCUUCACCUCCACCUGAUUAUUCAUGUGGUGAAGAAACUGGGCUACUUGUCCUGUAGAAUCGCCCAUAUUGUGGAUUUGGCCAUUGCUUCCACAUGAUGAUAAGAGAAUGUUACAUUAGCAGAGACAUCCAUUAAACAGGAGAGCUGAGGCCAUCUGACGCUAAGAAUCACAAUAACAGGCACAAAGCCAAAAGGGAAGGAAAACAGGGGCCAAAAUGAUGAGGGGAGCCAAAAAGCGUGAGAAGAAGCACUCUCAGCCUCACUGGCUCCUGACUUCUCUCUGAGUGAGUUCCAGCUUUCUGCAUCUCCCCUCCUUGCCCUGGCACCUCGGCCUUCAGGCAGGACGGUGGGGUGAAGGCAGCGAGGGAGGAAGGUGCUGGAGCAUCUCCCCCUCUGCCUGCACUGCUGGGCUAACACUUACAAAGGAAGAUUUGAAAAAUUCUUUGAAACUACACGCUCAAAGAAAGGACAAAUGCGCUUCCAAUCAAAUCAGUGUUGAAGGGGCAGCAUCUUUAUCAUCUGCCAUCCUUAGGAUUCAUUUCACAUUCAAAUAAAUAGAAAACUACUUGCAAAGGCAAAUUAGACCCAGAUUUACCCGCAGGUGGCAUUUCACGCCAUAACUUGAUGGCACUUCAUCAACAUCGGCUUUUCUGGGCUCACUGAUUUGUUCAUGCUAUAUGAAAAGUGCUUUACCAUAAUUUUUCAUUAUCCUCACAAGUUAUGCCAUUUGGAAUCAUGUAAGGUGGCUAAUGUUUCAGGGAUUCUUUUAAACACUUUACAAUCAGAGAUUCAAAGGCCAACUGCUGGUGACUCAGGGACCAUUAAGACAUCUGAGACAUGACCAUGAUUAAAGAUUAGUUGCGAUAGUUAUUUGGAUAUUAUAGAGUCUUUGAAAUUUAGAAACACUCACACAAACUAAUGACGAUGAGCAUCCGGGGCUUGGUGUUUCUCUGGUUCAGCUGCAGUAGAGGCGGGCGGCUCUCAAUUCAGGCUCACUCCAGGUCAGUUUCACAAGAAAACGCCAGUGCUGCCCCCAGCUCCCCUAGCUGCUAGGGCAGGUAUUUCUAUUUUCCAUGCAGCACAGAAGAGGGGGCCUCACCACAGACACCAGGAAGAAUAAUGUCAAACCCAUAGCAAUUCAAACCUGGGAGAAGCUUGACAACUGAGGAUUGGUCUUGUCAAUCCUACCAGCAGGUCUUGUCCAGUUUAAAAAAAUGAAAUACAACAGAAUGCAACAGAAUGGGAAACAAUCAGAGCACAUUAAAAGAAUAAGUACUACUUUGUGAAACUUUUCAGUUAUGUAUGUGGGUAUCAGUGUGUACUGAGGGUUGAGGAGAAAUGUAUUUUUAAAAUGUGAGUCAAGUUAAAAGGCCUCAAAGAAUGAUGCUCUAAGAAAUUAUAUACUGGAGACAGUCACAAUUAUAUAUUGGAUGACGAAAAACAAAAUAAAAAUUAAAAAUUAGAAAUUUAUAAUUUACCCCUGGAA